Drosophila virilis is the source of this 1257-nucleotide non-coding RNA. NCBI's taxonomy places the organism in Eukaryota, Metazoa, Arthropoda, Insecta, Diptera, Drosophilidae. The record is from RefSeq and is a predicted model, not a curated record.
CUCCGUAAAGUGUGUCGGCAAAAGAGUGUUUAAUUCAAAUAUGUGAAAAUAAUUCGUUUUGGAGUGUGUUACAAGUUUAUAAAGUUAGUUAUUAAGUGUUGGCAUAUGUGUUUAAUAUCGCGAUACCUUCAAAGCUGUUUAUUUCAUGUGCAUAUCGUGUUUAAAUUUGGUCUAUUUUUUUUCCACGUAAAAGCGCGCGCGUUUGGUGGCCGAAGUGUCCCGAUUGGAUCGAAGUUAUUUGUGCUCAAAUGUAUGUAUGUGUGUAUGCAUGCAUGUCUGUGAAUGUGCUUAUGUGAGUGUGUGUAAAACAGCUGGCCCCAGCAAAAUGUUAAGGACAACAACAACAAAGCAAAAAGCGCAACAAAGGAGAUAACGAAAUGCUGGGACACAAAACUAAACACGCACCAGGCAAUUUAGGCGCGAGCGUGCCAAUCGCGUCGCGGCCGACGCAACGCGUGGAUUCGCAGUCGCAGCUUAACAAAUUGCUGACCGCACGAUUCAGUGGCAAAACGAAGACUGAAUUUGGCCAGUUGGCGCACUCGUUAUUUUAUACGCUCGCAGCCGAUGCACACAAAAACACAGACUCGAACCCAAUUUGAGGCUGUGUUGAGCAACAGAACUAAACGACGGUUAACAGCGUACACAGGACUAAAGCGUGGGAUGUAUUUAAAUAAAGGUUCGUCGUCCGCCUGCUGAUAGAUGACGAUAAAGUAAUCUUGCGUGUGAAUUAACAGGCCACACACAGAACAGAGCUUGGCUUUUUUACACUAAAAGCCUGGCCAAACAGUCGUAAAAACCCAACCCGGAAGAAGACGAGCAUAAAACUUGGCCGCCUCAAUCGUAGUGUCACUCGCAUCCGGUUUAUAAUAAUGUCAUACGCAAGGAGUCCUUUAAUAAGGACAUUCAAUUGACAGCGGCUGCUGUUGGCGGCAAUUGGGUAAGCAUAAAUAACCACUUAAUAGAAUCAUAUAGAGAUAACCAGAAGCAGACACACAAAAGGCAACUGGGAAAUUGAUAUCUAUCAAAUUUCAAUGGAAACAAAAGAAAACAAGCAAGUCCUUUUAGCCUGGCAAUGCUUAAACACCCUUUCAUAUUUUUGGGAAAUGUAAAGAACAUAAAAUUAGCCAAGAUGAAAAAAAUGCAUAUUUAAAGAUAUUUACAUACAUACUUAAAUGGGCCGAGGACUACUCUAACUUCCAUUCUCUGCAGAACACAACAAAUUUAAUAAAAAAUUACUUACUUUUACUUUGGAAAUUA